GUGGAUUAGAUACCCGGGUAGUCCACGCCCUAAACGUUGGGCACUAGGUGUGGGAGGUAUUGACCCCUUCCGUGCCGCAGCUAACGCGAUAAGUGCCCCGCCUGGGGAGUACGGCCGCAAGGCUAAAACUCAAAGGAAUUGACGGGGGCCCGCACAAGCAGCGGAGCGUGUGGUUCAAUUCGAUGAUACGCGAAGAACCUUACCAGGGUUUGACAUGCUGGUGGUACCUGACCGAAAGGAAGGGGACCCUUCGGGGAGCCAGUGCAGGUGUUGCACGGUUGUCGUCAUCU
This 290-nucleotide ribosomal RNA is filed under the name uncultured bacterium. Its description in RNAcentral is "partial 16S ribosomal RNA". It matches the Rfam family "Bacterial small subunit ribosomal RNA", at positions 773 to 1060 of the family's 1533-position model. The record is from RNAcentral.